RNAcentral lists this ribosomal RNA (617 nucleotides) under uncultured archaeon. RNAcentral's name for it is "bacterial SSU rRNA". It matches the Rfam family "Archaeal small subunit ribosomal RNA", at positions 149 to 766 of the family's 1478-position model. The record is from RNAcentral.
AUACCGGAUAAGCCACAUAUGCUGGAAUGCUUUGUGGCUCAAAGCUCCGGCGUCCAAGGAUGGGUCUGCGGCCUAUCAGGGUAGUAGUGGGUGUAAUGUACCUACUAGCCUACGACGGGUACGGGUUGUGAGAGCAAGAGCCCGGAGAUGGAUUCUGAGACACGAAUCCAGGCCCUACGGGGUGCAGCAGGCGCGAAAACUUUACAAUGCGGGAAACCGCGAUAAGGGAAUCUCGAGUGCCAGCAUAUAAUGUUGGCUGUCCAGAUGCCUAAAAAGCAUUUGUUAGCAAGGGCCGGGCAAGACCGGUGCCAGCCGCCGCGGUAACACCGGCGGCCCGAGUGGUAACCGUUAUUAUUGGGUCUAAAGGGUCUGUAGCCGGCCGAAUAAGUCUCUUGGGAAAUCUGGCAGCUUAACUGUCAGGCAGUCAGGGGAUACUGUUCGGCUUGGGACCGGGAGAGGUGAGAGGUACUUCGGGGGUAGGGGUGAAAUCUUGUGAUCCUCGAGGGACCACCAGUGGCGAAGGCGUCUCACCAGAACGGGUCCGACGGUAAGGGACGAAAGCUAGGGGCACGAACCGGAUUAGAUACCCGGGUAGUCCUAGCCGUAAACGAUGCUUG